Molecule: small RNA, 4352 nt
Filed under: Pyricularia oryzae
Lineage: Eukaryota; Fungi; Ascomycota; Sordariomycetes; Magnaporthales; Pyriculariaceae
Description: Magnaporthe oryzae sRNA M_BR32_EuGene_00145281
Source: RNAcentral
UUUAGACGUAAAAUGGAAUUUUAAUAGGCACAUUUAAAAAAACAAAAAACACAAACCAAAUACCAUUUGUAUUUCCAAUUUAAAAUUCGGACUAUUUUAUAAUUUAACCAAGUUUCCCAUUUGCGGCAAAGGAAAAUAAAAAUAGCGUUUCUAACCUGAAAUAAUUUACAACAUUCCCACCGCAUUUCGAAAAAUAAUACGGCUCUUUUUAAGUUUUAAUAUGCGGUCUAACAAAAAUUUGCGCUGGUAAUAUAUUGCAGAACUUUCGAGGGUAACGGAUUUAAUUUCGGUAUCGUUUAUAAUUAUUACGAUUAAGGGGGAGAAAACGUAUUUAAAAUCGCGAAACAUAUGGCGCUCGAUUACCUAAUUAAUAACGUUGGUAACAAAAACUUUUAAUUGGACCUUUUUACGUCGCAAAAAUUAGUAGCAGUUUUUUAUAAUUCGCAUAUUUUUUAAAGCUAUUACGAAUAAAUAUGGAGGAAAAUAAUAUUUUGUAAAUCGCGUGCAAACAGUCCAGGGCCUCCUCGCAAUUAAAUUUCUCCAUAUCGAUAUUAAAUUCGCUGGUGGCUUUGGAUAACGUCCCAAUAACUAAUUUUAAAUCGAAUUUGUUAUAAUAUGCGCCUCGGUUGCAAUUUAUACUGGAACGAUAUUUAAAUAAAAUAGAAUUAAUAAUAUUAAACCGCGUUCGUAAUUUAUUUUUACCGGUCCUGUGGAGGUUAUCCGUAUAAUAAUAGUUGUAAUUGAUAAAAAAACCUUUCAAAUUUUCGAUUAAUAUCCUCAACUCUUUUCGGGUUUUCGUUUUGCGUUUUUCAAAACGUUGCCUGAUUUUAAAAAAUUUAAUUUAGGCGCAUUAGCGCAUUAAUAUUUAGCAAUCGAAUAAGAAUUUUGCGGUAUUAUAUUUACCAUAUUCGAAAAAUAAUAUCCUUAAUUCCCCUUUUUUUAAAGAAAAUAUUAUAAAAUUGCUCGCAAAUGUAAUUAACGAGGUCGAUAUGGGAUUCGGCGAAUUUAACCCAUAAUUGAAAUUGCUUCCAAAAAAACUCAGUUAUUAUAUUUGGAUUAAAAUUCCCGAACAACUUAAUUUCUCGCGAACGUUAUAUUAAUUGUUUUACCCAUUCCGUUACCUUGGUUUUCGAAAGCCUUUUUGGUCCUGGCGUGGCAAUUUUAAUUUAUAUAAAUAUCUCGCAUUUUACGCUGUUGUCCGAAACCAAAUCGGCGUGCACGACUGCAGGAAUUUGAUAUUUGUAUCUUUUCGUCCAAAUAUCUUCUGAAAAUUGGCUGUUGCAAUAUUAAAUGGCUGCACGGAAUCGAGCGAUUGUGUUUUUGUUUUUUAGGUUAAACGCAUUUUCCCCGCCUGAUUUAAAAAAUUCGUAUUUAUAAUGCCCGUUUAAAAUUAUUUUGCAAAUUUUAUAGCAAUCCAUAUUUAAAUGCGUUAAAUAUAUGCGGCAAUUUAAAACAAUCGAUCGCAAAUCCCCGAAAGGUUUUAAUUUACUUUCAGAUAAUUUUAAAACCAUUUCGAAAUCUCCCAUUAGGCGGGGAAAUUUAUUUUUUACAUGGCCGUAAAAUAGGUGGUUAAAUCGCGUGCGCAACGUGUUAAUACCACACGUUUCCUGUGGUAGAAUUUUAAAAUUUAAGGACCGAAAGAAAUUCGUCUUUAAUAUAUUGCGUUUUUUAAAUAAAAAAUUUCGUUUUUCAAAUUUUCGAUUUUUUAUAACGUGCCAACCGAAUUGAAAAAAAACGUCCUCGUUACGGGCGAAUUUAAGGAAUUUUUUUUCAAAACCAGACCCGGUUUUAAAUUUGUCCGGUUUUAUAAUUAUACCAAAUAUUCGUUCGCCAAAAAGGUUAAAUUUGCGAAUUUAUUAAAGGAUUCUUUGGUUUGCCGCGUUAUUCGUAACCGAAACAACCGUUAGGCAAAUGGUACGAGGUUGGGAAAUAUAAUAAUUAGUAAUUUUUUUAAUUAUUUUAACGUUAUUAUUUAAAAUAUCCUUGGUAAAAGUUUAAAUUAGGCCUGGAAUAUUAACCAGGGUUAACUAAGGACGGUUCGGGCCAUUAAUAUUAAUACUAAACGUAUUUUUGGUAAAGGCGCUGGUAAAUAAUACGUUAUCAAAUCCUAAAAUCCCCAUUACCGUUAUAACCGCAUUAAUAACAAUAGGCAAAUUAAUAAAAGUAAUAAUAAAUUGGGAAAAGGUUUUAAUAUUUUGUUUUUUAUAUUUAGGGCGACUGUUAUUUGGAACAAUUUUAACAGUAAUUUUAUCGACGGCCUCGCGGCGGAAAUUAAUUUUAAUAACAAAUCUGGUGCAAAGGUUGUCGUUUUUGGGGAAAGGAAUCUCAAUCAGGGCUUCCAAUACGGAACUUUUCCCAGCAGAUUAAUUUCCACAAACGACGAUUUAAAAUAGAAAUAAAAUAUUGUCGAAACCACAUUUUCGCACGUAAUUAAUGGUGUCGAAAAGAAUUCGUUGCUCCGUUAUUUGGAACUUUUCCAAAAUGGAUUUAUAAAAUAGUUUGUUAAAAAAAAAGGAAUUAUCGGGAACGCCCAUAUUAGCCAAUAGGAAAUUGUAAAUUUGAAAAACGAAUUUGAGGGAAAUAGGGGACGGGAUAAUAAUAUUUGAAAAAGAAAUUAAAGAACUAAUAGCGAAAAUAUAACCUUUGCUUAAAUUUUUAAAUUGUUAUCGAAGGCCAAAAUCGUGUUAUAAGAUAAAAAUAUAAUAUUUUUUAACCGAUAAACCUUUCGUUUUUUAUCGUUGGAAUAAAAAUAAAAAUCCUUAAAAACCUCCUCCCCUAAUAUUAUUAAAUGGCAUUUAUUUUUAAAUUGCAGGACCUAUAAUUAACCGCUAUACCACGUUAUAAAACAGGGCGGUUAAUUACAUUAACUGGCCUAUUAAAAAUCCUAAAUUUAAAAAAUAACUUUUCCCGUAAAGUUACCAUUUCUCAAUUAUGCGGGAGGCCCUCCUUUUCUGGGCCUCCGUUUCCGCCAAAUUAAACACAUUUCCUCGUUCAAUACCAACAAAAUCUGGCAAAAAAAAAAUAAAUUUCCAUUUCUUUUAAAGCCAGUAGAAAAACGUAAAUUAUAUAUAUAUUUGGUUAAUUAAUUUAAAUUACUUCCUUAAGGCGCUAAACUAAUUAAAGGAACCGUUACAUUACCUAAUGUUGGAAAUUAUGGAAGUUUUUUAGCCCAGCGUAUGGAAAACCUGUUAUAUAGUCGGCCGCAUAUUAGGUAAAGAAACGAUUUCCAUUAGCAGGUAUUUUAAAAGCUUUUAAUUGGUUGUCCAUAUCCGACAAAAUAUAAUAUAGGAGGCCCACCAUCCUCCUAUUAAUUAAAUUAACAGUUUUGGAAACGGGCGAUCCAGCCACAAAUUAAUAUAUAUAAAAGGCCCUCCACCGUUUAUUAAUGGGGUCAAAAUUAAGGCAUUUGCCAAAAUAUUUGUAAAAUACAAAUCUCGAUUUUUGGGGAUGUGUUUGUUAAAUUUGGAAUUUUUGAUUUAUACCAUUGGAAUUGGCCGUAUUAGGUUUGCUUACGCCCUAAAUAACGCAUUAUUAAUAAAAUUGAAAAUUAUUAAUUUUUUAAUUAAAAAUGCCACUAUUAUGCAAAAAACCUUCCAUAUGCAACGCCUAAAAAAAAUGUUUUGUUGCGGGUUAUUAACCAAGAUACCUGUUUGUUAGAAAUGUCGGAAACCCUCGGUUGCAUGCGCAAAUAUUGUUAGUAUUAUAUAAAAAGCCUGCUAUUUUCCUGCCAUUAUAUCGCACAAAUAAUAAUUUUGGUGGUUAUUAUUUAUACGAUUACGAAAAAACAUUUGGGAUGCAGGAGGUAUUAAUUAAUACGCUGUAUUAUCCCCUAUUAUUUCGCAAAAAAUACCCAACCAUAAAUUACUAAUUCCAAAAAUGGAGGGCCUCCUGCAUAAAAGGGAUUUCUAUUCCGACUGGCUGGCUAAUAAUUUAGCACACUAUAUAUUAAAUUAUAUAUGGGUACAAUAUAUAGGUUUUGUGGCAAAAACGGAAAUAUGUGGGCGCAAUUAUAACGACCGUUUCCAUAUUAUUACCAUAUUAUCGCCUGUUCGCGAAUAUCAACUUGCGCCUUUCCUAUAUAAAAAAAAUACGUCUAGCAACUUUUUUAAGCCCAUAAAUUAUAUAUCGCACAUUUCUAUCGUUUCGCGCGAAUAGAUUAUAAUAUUUGGACCUUAAGACCACCAGACCCUAACCCUAACCCCUAACCAACGACCCACCAGGGUAAUAUCUGACGUACAUUAACGUAUACGUACAGUUAAAUUUAGUGGGUAGGAAAGCCAUAUAUUGGUAUAGGCCGUGUUAUUUGUGCUAAAACGCGUGUUGGAGCUUUUAUCGUAUUUCUAACGCUAAUU